Long non-coding RNA from Pavo cristatus (Indian peafowl), 1951 nucleotides. NCBI's taxonomy places the organism in Eukaryota, Metazoa, Chordata, Aves, Galliformes, Phasianidae. The record is from Ensembl.
AAAGCUAGUAGCAUUGUGCCUUAUUUAGAUAUGUUGUGAAGGACCGUAACAACAAAAAGUUGAACUCUAGCAGAACAGUAUAAAUGAGCCUUUAAGGCUUGUGCAGUAGAAAGGCAGCAAAAAUGAUACAGCUAAGACAACAGGAGAAGCAACUAGAAUUCCAACAGNACUGUAGGAUACUAUAAGGAUGGGGAAGAUGCAGCCAUUUCUUGAAUACAAAAAAAAACCUUGCAGAGUUGAAGUUGCUUGAAUUUAGUAAAGGAUUUUAGUGUGUGAAAGCUGUGUUUAAGCAAAAACACUAAUGCUUUAGUUAGGAAAAAUUGAUCGAUGUUCUGGAUAAUAUUGUGAAAUACCAGGACAUGUUAAUUGUUUUUUUUUUUUUUGUUUUGUUUUUUUUGAAGCUGAGCUGAGUGCUUAAAGAAUUAUCUUGGAGACAAAGUUAUAGAAGUUUUCGCUGGGAUGAGUCCAAUGAGAGGAAAUGGAAAACUUAUUCAGAUGUACAUCCUUUCUUACUCUGUCUUACAACCUGCAGUCACGGUGUAUAGUACUUUCAGACAAUAUCUGUACAGCUCAGGUGGUGCUUGGUCAAAAAAUCCAGUAUCAAGGAGUUAGUGUGACCUGCUUGGUGACGUGUUCAUUUUGCACCCAGACUGUUAUCGCUUUGGCUAAUAGAUGUGGUGUGUUUUCUGUCUUAGUGAGCUGGUAUAACUAUCUAGAAAAAUUGACUGCUCCUAAACAUUUAUCCUAUUAUUGUGUAAAAUAAUCAUCGGCCUUUUAGAAAACUUGAGUACAAUUGUAGUCAACAAGAAAAAUCUAGUCAUACUGAUCUAAUUUUGUCUUGUAAUGCUUAUAGCUCCAAAUACCUUGUACUUGUAUCCUUAGUUCCAUUUUGAAGCCCCCCCUGGGGCUUUACCUAGUCAUUGGCCUCACAGGAGGGUAAGAAAGAAGAACAGAAAUCUGUCCCGUGAUGUAUUUUAUACUUCUGCCUGGAAAAGUUUUAUGGGGAAUUUUUCUCAAUACCUACAGCAGUGGGACCAUUGUUCUACAGCCUACCCUACAUUACACUGAAUAGAAACAUUUUGUCAUUCUUGUUGUCACUUAGAUGUAUUUUUAUAUUCUGACGUUGCUGUGGACUUUCAUCUGUUCGACAUCUAGAGCUUGCUGCUAAUGCAUAUAUAUAUUUGCUCUUCAAGUUUUUCCAGAUCUGUCAUUUACAAAAUGCAUCUGCUUUUGCACCAGCAAAGUACACAGUUGGUGCUCUCCAAUUAACUAAGGCAUGAUUUAAAAGAAUUUUGAUUAACAUCCAGUGUUUUCAUUAUGUUUUGGCAUAUUUUGAUUUGACAGUUUAAAAGCUCUAGCUCAGUACUUCCUUUGUGCAGUUUGGUGGCAUUUUUCUCCACCAACAAAAUUUAUAAAAACUGUAGAGUCCUGCUCCAUUUCAGGGUCCUCUGAAGUAUAGGUCUACUGGAUACAUAAUGUAUUCUGAGAAUUAGCAAACUUAAUUAGACAGCCUCUUAUUAGGAACCAAGAGCUUCCUAACAUCAUCUUAUACAGCCACAUUAUGCAAAGCCAGGUGGUUUUAGGCUCAGGUGUCCUUUUUGGGUACAGGUUCCUCCUACAUAGUUGAUUUGAUUGGAUUAAGGGCUGUUCCAGUCACAGCAGGAAUGUCCCUUUCAGGGUUGAAUAUUUAAGGCUGUGAGGCAGUGUUGUUUGUCUGCAGGUUGUUGGCUUUCUUCAGACCAUUUUCCUCAAGUGUGCCAUGUAUUGAUGCUAUGAUAGGCUGAAGGUAUCCUAGCAUUUUAAUUUUAUUUUUUUUUACUGUGAACUACAAAUGUCUUAUGUCUACAGUUUGNAGAUUAAGCAAAGCUGUAUGACCAGUGCUAUCUCAGGAGGAUGCUGAGUCAUUAACUCAUGUUUAUUGCCUCUUGCCAUCUUUAGAUUAUUGCAAUUU